AUCCGGCUGAUGAUUCCCGAAUAGGACGAAACGCGCUUACUGGAU
Molecule: non-coding RNA, 45 nt
Organism: Schistosoma haematobium
Lineage: Eukaryota; Metazoa; Platyhelminthes; Trematoda; Strigeidida; Schistosomatidae
Source: Rfam